This 401-nucleotide ribosomal RNA is filed under the name uncultured prokaryote. RNAcentral's name for it is "bacterial SSU rRNA". It matches the Rfam family "Bacterial small subunit ribosomal RNA", at positions 355 to 774 of the family's 1533-position model. The record is from RNAcentral.
UAGGGAAUAUUAGAAAUGGACGAAAGUCUGAUCUAGCAACACCGCGUGUGCGAAGAAGGCCUUCGGGUCGUAAAGCACUUUUUGGAGGAUGAGGAAGGACAGUACUCUUAGAAUAAGUCUCGGCUAACUACGUGCCAGCAGCCGCGGUAACACGUAGGAGGCAAACGUUAUCCGGAUUUACUGGGCGUAAAGCGCGUGUAGGUGGUUUGGUAAGUAGAGCGUGAAAGCUCCUGGCUCAACUGGGAGAGGUCGUUCUAAACUGCCGGACUAGAGGAUGGUAGAGGGAGGUGGAAUUCCGGGUGUAGCGGUGGAAUGCGCAGAUAUCCGGAGGAACACCAGUGGCGAAAGCGGCCUCCUGGACCACUCCUGACACUCAGACGCGAAAGCUAGGGUAGCAAACG